RNAcentral lists this long non-coding RNA (691 nucleotides) under Lotus japonicus. Its description in RNAcentral is "long non-coding RNA (LJAP_LNC000210)". The record is from RNAcentral. Lineage: Eukaryota; Viridiplantae; Streptophyta; Magnoliopsida; Fabales; Fabaceae.
ACAAACUAAAGGACUUGUGACCUUUUAUUAUACCCUAAUUCCCUUUAGGGGGUCAUUCAGUCUGGUCCUCAUCCUGUGUAUAUGCAUGUUGUCAUUGUUCAUGUCCCACUCCACAAAUCACUUGGAUAUGAACUCUUAUAAGUAUUCAUGCUCCAUCAACUACCCCUGAAAUUUAAGUAUUAAAGCAGAAAAAUAUUCAACAUAGAAGAACAAAAUCAUAUGCAUGAAGAGAUUUUCAGCAGGCACUUUACUCUGCAUAAGGUUGUGAAGAGCGUGCUAGAUAAGUGAAAGGAUCAUUGUUUUUAAAAACUUUUUAAAGUUUCUUUAAAAUAGACAGUUUAAUCUCAUACUAUCAAAUAAAAGUCCGGGUUAUACUUACAUAUAGAUUUUUGAUUUAACAAAGUUCCAAUCUAAGGUUUAAAGGUUUGAAAAAACCAAAAGGUUUCUUUAAAUCCACUUAGUUUAAAUAUCAUAUUUAAACUAAAAGAAACAAAUAACGUUCAUAUAUAAUUAAGUUUACCUGUCAUUAGAGUCUUUGUUCCUCUCAUAGCUUAAUUGAUAAGACCACCUAAACCAUGCAGCCUAAAAAGGAAAGUGCAGAAGAUGUUAAAAAGGGAAGUGCAAUACUUGUAUCCAAAGGUUUUCAAGUGAGAAACAUACAACAUGAAAAAAAUACAACAGAGAAAAGAGA